Molecule: long non-coding RNA, 543 nt
Organism: Homo sapiens (human)
Lineage: Eukaryota; Metazoa; Chordata; Mammalia; Primates; Hominidae
Gene: ZNF571-AS1
Product: ZNF571 antisense RNA 1
Source: Ensembl
GCCUGCCUAGACGGUGCUGGGAGCGCGUCUCCUUGAACGUUGUCCCGCCUGGGAUUGCGAGGAUAGAGACUUGCUCUGUUGCCCAGGCUGGAGUGCAGUGACACGACUUGGCUCACUGCAACCUCUGCCUCCUGGGUUCAAGCAAUUCUCCUGCCUCAGCCUCCCGAGUAGCUGAGAUUACAGGCAUGUGCCACCACACCUGGCUAAUUUUGUAUUUUUAGUGGAGACGGGGUUCCACCAUAUCGGCCAGGCUGGUCUUGAAUUCCUGACCUCAUGAUCCACCAGCCUCAGCCUCCCAAAGUGCUGGGAUUACAGGCGUGAAUGUAAUGAUUUUUAAAAAGAAAAACAUGGAUGUAAAGAAAGUAAAGCUUCGUUUUGAACAGUUAUGAUGGUAACAAAACUCAAAGGAGCAACUAAAGCAGUGCUGCAACCACUUUUGUCUGUCUUAGUAAUUCUGAUUAGUGUACAUUCCUCCCCCACCAACCAUUUUGAGAGAAAUUUGUCUGAAAACAUGAUUUAUGAAAUAAACAUAAGUGCUGAAAG